CCAGACUCCUACGGGAGGCAGCAGUGAGGAAUAUUGGUCAAUGGGCGCGAGCCUGAACCAGCCAAGUCGCGUGAGGGAUGACGGCCCUACGGGUUGUAAACCUCUUUUGUCGGGGAGCAAAUUCCGUUACGUGUAACGGAGUCGAGAGUACCCGAAGAAAAAGCAUCGGCUAACUCCGUGCCAGCAGCCGCGGUAAUACGGAGGAUGCGAGCGUUAUCCGGAUUUAUUGGGUUUAAAGGGUGCGUAGGCGGGCGCUUAAGUCAGCGGUAAAAUUGCGGGGCUCAACCCCGGCGAGCCGUUGAAACUGGCGGGCUGGAGUUGGAGAGAAGUACGCGGAAUGCGCGGUGUAGCGGUGAAAUGCUUAGAUAUCGCGCAGAACCCCGAUUGCGAAGGCAGCGUACCGGCUCCACACUGACGCUGAGGCACGAAAGCGUGGGUAUCGAACAGGAUUAGAUACCCCAGUACG
Molecule: ribosomal RNA, 466 nt
Filed under: uncultured bacterium
Lineage: Bacteria
Description: bacterial SSU rRNA
Rfam family: Bacterial small subunit ribosomal RNA
Source: RNAcentral